AGAGUUUGAUCAUGGCUCAGAGCGAACGCUGGCGGCGUGCUUAACACAUGCAAGUCGAACGAGUGUAGCAAUACAUUCGUGGCGAACGGGUGCGUAACACGUGGAUAACCUUCCUUGAGGUGGGGAAUAACCCCGCGAAAGCGGGGCUAAUACCGCAUAACAAAGCGAUGGCACAUGCUGUUGCUUUCAAAGGAGCAAUUCGCCACAAGAGGGAUCCGCGGCCGAUUAGCUAGUUGGUGAGGUAACGGCUCACCAAGGCUAUGAUCGGUAGCCGGACUGAGAGGUUGGCCGGCCACACUGGAACUGAGACACGGUCCAGACUCCUACGGGAGGCAGCAGUGGGGAAUCUUGCGCAAUGGGCGAAAGCCUGACGCAGCGACGCCGCGUGGGGGAUGAAGCUUUUCGGAGCGUAAACCCCUUUCGACCGGGACGAAUGCCCGCAAGGGCUUGACGGUACCGGUAGAAGAAGCCCCGGCUAACUACGUGCCAGCCGCCGCGGUAAUAC
This 505-nucleotide ribosomal RNA is filed under the name uncultured bacterium. RNAcentral describes it as "bacterial SSU rRNA". It matches the Rfam family "Bacterial small subunit ribosomal RNA", at positions 8 to 526 of the family's 1533-position model. The record is from RNAcentral.